This is a long non-coding RNA of Brachypodium distachyon (stiff brome), 2328 nucleotides long. RefSeq lists it as uncharacterized. The record is from RefSeq and is a predicted model, not a curated record. The transcript has 2 exons. NCBI's taxonomy places the organism in Eukaryota, Viridiplantae, Streptophyta, Magnoliopsida, Poales, Poaceae.
UUUACCCGUCUUUUGACCGCUUAGGGUUUUGGAAAUUAGCAAAUCUCGCUGGGUUUAGCGGGUCGGAGGCAGGUCACGAUGCAGCUUAUACGCCGGGGAAGUCAAUAUAUGCCGCAGCGGGCUGUGAGUCUGUGACCAGCGCUUGGCUCGACGGAUAGUAUUUUGUGCAUCAGAGGCGGAGCUUGCCCCCGAUUCCUGCGCGACGGCGCUGCGGACGGGUUUAUCGCUUAGUUUGCGAUGACAUUGGCACGGGAAACCAGGUAACCGUGCGCUAAACCGUUUCCGCGGUGCAGGUUGAGCUGACGGUUUGUCUCGUUCCCCCGGGCGACGCCUGAACUGCACUAGGCACAUCCAGGAUUAUCCAUUCCCCUGACAGGACGUGUAGGACGGAUUCACGGUGAGGGUACCUAGGGCACGCGCCCGGGCUCCGAGCCGCCUCGUGCCGGAGCUACGGCGAGGUUCUGCGGCCGGGAGCCGGGUGUGCCUCCGAAGAGGACGAGCAUAUCAUCUCCCUCUCUCUCUCUGUCCAGAUCUGGGCUCUCUCUUGGGCUUUGUUCUCUCCCUGCGAUGGAUCUCAGCCAGGCCAAUUUCCUCUCCAGAAAAAAAAAAGCCUGGCCAAUCGCGCCCGAUGGAUCAACUCUUUGCUGGUCAGUGGUCACCUCCUUCGGUCCUUGGGCUAAAAAAAAACCUCCCCUGGUCCUCCCCGUCCGCAUGUCUGUCUCCCUCUCUAAAUCUGAGAAUCCCCAAAGGUCUCCGGGCUACGGACUCCGACGAGGGUAGUGCACACGUGGCGGGCAGGUCAGGCCGGGCUGGACCUCAGGCGGGCGGUGGCAGGAAUAGCAAACGCCCGGCGCGGCACACGGCAAUUCCGAUAUGUUUUUGAUAGAUUUGCUAGGAGCAAAUGUUCCGCCAUUUUGGUUCCCUGCCGCAGCAUAGCUGGUUUCCUUUUUUAGAAAUUGGAUAGCUGGUUUCCUAAUUGUAAGCCUUUCAAAGUACUGACGUUUGUGCCACUGAUGUAUGGCUCUGCGAUGUUUAGAUAGACUAAAUGUAAUUUUUAUUUGAUACUAGUUGGACAAAAUAGGUGCCCUUGAGCUUGGAGACUUCCUAGGUGAGUUCUCUGACCUGAAAUAUAAUUGUAUAAACAUUUUGGUAGCCUAAGUAGAAGCAUUUCCAUUGCCAGUAUGUGGUUCUUGCGGCAAUAUUCUCUGCUACGGACUUCUGUAUGCACCUUGCAAGUUUUAAGCCAAGAUGAGACACCCUUCUUGUACAGUUUGGCUUUUGGUGAAGAUGUUAUCGAAGAUGCGAGAUCAGUUGUGUUUUUCAAUGCAGUCCAGAACUUUGACCUUGCAAAUUUCAGUAGCUUGAAAUUCUUACAACUUGUUGGCAGUUUUCUUCAUCAGUUCAGCACCAGCACCUUUCUCAGAGUAGCUGUAAGACGUAAGUUCUGUCAUGUUCCCCCAUUCCGCUUUGCCAAUUUUUGUUUUUCUUACUGAAGAGUGUUAUAACUGUAGACUGGACUUCUCAGUGCUUAUAUCAUCAAGAAACUGUACUUUGACAGGUCUGUACUUAACAGAUCUAAUUUCACUGUUAUGACUUGCCUCUAAUUUUGCAUUCUUUGCAGGCACUCAACUGAUCGUGAAGUUUCUAUUAUGAUGCUCAUGGCUUAUUUAUCUUGCAUGCUGGCUGAAGCACCCGACACUACCAAAUCAUAUUGGUUCAAUGAUAUCACUUGAUUCAACACUGUCAGCUAGCUCUAAAUGAUAUGUACUCUGUCGCAAAGUUUGGGCGUCUUUUUUUCUCCAGUAGUUUGGUAUUGUCAAUCUUUGUUUUGCUGUGAGUGCUACUUAUUAGUGGAGUCCAUGUGAUUACAAUUUCAUUAUCUGUAAAUAGCUACACAUAUAACAAUAUUUGUUGCUUGCCUUGUUUAAAUAGUGGAGUCCAUGUGGUAAAUAUUUGUAGCUUGCCUUGUUUAAAGGUGACUGUACAAGUAUCGCUAUUCAUGUAUUUUCUUGCUACAUUCAUGAUUUAAUCCAUAAAUUGAUUUAAUGGGUCAUUUAUAGGUAGCUUCUUUGAGUUUUCGUUUCAGCUUUCUAACCCUUGAGUGAUUCAUACUCCUUUUCUGUAGGAGAGGAGAUGCCUCAAUGAUGACUCCAUGUCCAAAGGCCAAAUAGAACUGAUCUAGUACAUUUGAAGAUAGCCUGUCUCAAUUCAUGCAGGAGUAUUGUGAACAAUAUGUAUUGUGCUGUUUGAAUUGGCUGUUGGAAACUUGUUUCGAAUAUUGUGGACAAGAUGAAUCAAUCCAAAAUUCGUGUCUGUUCGUGUGGACAA